UGAGGAAUAUUGGUCAAUGGGCGGAAGCCUGAACCAGCCAUGCCGCGUGAAGGAUGACGGCCUUAUGGGUUGUAAACUUCUUUUGUGGUAGAACAAUAAUGGGCACGUGUGCUCAGAUGAGAGUAUAUCACGAAUAAGCAACGGCUAACUCCGUGCCAGCAGCCGCGGUAAUACGGAGGUUGCGAGCGUUAUCCGGAUUUAUUGGGUUUAAAGGGUGCGUAGGCGGUUUGAUAAGUCAGUGGUGAAAGUUUGCAGCUUAACUGUAAAAUUGCCAUUGAUACUGUCAGACUUGAGUACAGAUGAGGUAGGCGGAAUGUGUGGUGUAGCGGUGAAAUGCUUAGAUAUCACACAGAACACCGAUUGCGAAGGCAGCUUACUAAACUGACACUGACGCUGAGGCACGAAAGUGUGGGGAUCAAACAGG
Molecule: ribosomal RNA, 424 nt
Filed under: uncultured bacterium
Lineage: Bacteria
Description: bacterial SSU rRNA
Rfam family: Bacterial small subunit ribosomal RNA
Source: RNAcentral